GACGAACGCUGGCGGCGUGCUUAACACAUGCAAGUCGAACGGAAAGGCCCUGCUUUUGUGGGGUGCUCGAGUGGCGAACGGGUGAGUAACACGUGAGUAACCUGCCCUUGACUUUGGGAUAACUUCAGGAAACUGGGGCUAAUACCGGAUAGGAGCUCCUGCUGCAUGGUGGGGGUUGGAAAGUUUCGGCGGUUGGGGAUGGACUCGCGGCUUAUCAGCUUGUUGGUGGGGUAGUGGCUUACCAAGGCUUUGACGGGUAGCCGGCCUGAGAGGGUGACCGGCAACAUUGGGACUGAGAUACGGCCAAGACUCCUACGGGAGGCAGCGGUGGGGAAUAUUGCAAAAUGGGCGGAAGCCUGAUGCAGCAACGCCGCGUGCGGGAUGACGGCCUUCGGGUUGUAAACCGCUUUCGCCUGUGACGAAGCGUGAGUGACGGUAAUGGGUAAAGAAGCACCGGCUAACUACGU
Molecule: ribosomal RNA, 467 nt
Filed under: uncultured bacterium
Lineage: Bacteria
Description: partial 16S ribosomal RNA
Rfam family: Bacterial small subunit ribosomal RNA
Source: RNAcentral